AUGCGCUCCCGGGCACCAAGUUGCUGCGGGGCUGCCGGCGGGGUGGGGCGGCACGGAGGGAGGGAGAAGGGCGAAGUCUCGGCGUUAUUUGCUCCAGCUGCCUCUAUUUAUUCGUUCUCGGGAGGCGGCUGCUGGCGUUGGGAUAGAAGAAGAAAAAANNNNNNNNNNNNNNNNNNNNUUUUGCAUUUGCGAAAUAUUUUAAGGAUGUUCGGGGAGCCCUUUGCGGCAUGGAGGUGGCUGGCGGUGGGAGAGCGAGUAUGCGGUCCAUAUUGUUCCAGGCGGUCUGCGAGGGCUGCCUUCUCCGAAGAAAUGUCUGGAAGACACAUUACUGAGGAGUGGCUUUGCCUCGACUGCACGUUUCCCAGCCUCACUCCUUCUGAAAUGUCUGUGCCUGUCUGUGGAAUAUCAGGAUCUAAAACACAAGAGGGUAACCUGUUUCCCAGCUGUGAACAAAGGAUGUCUGUCUUGCUCCAGACUCUCAUUCUUCCAUGCCUCUUCCAGACUGCAACUUGUAUGGCUCUUCAGUGUUACGCGUCAGAGGAAGCUGCAUCCAAAGGUUAAAGCAUCCUUCCACCUAGCAUUCUUCAUAUUUUUCCUCUUUUAUCAAAAGGCUCAAGAAGGUAAUUCAUGUUGUAGUAGAGGUCCAAAUCCGUGAGACAAUCUAGGAUUGUAAGUGUUUUAGUAAAUAUACGUGGGUGGGGAAAAAAAUAAAUCAGUGCUUUGAAACA
This 728-nucleotide long non-coding RNA is filed under the name Anser cygnoides (Swan goose). Its description in RNAcentral is "lncRNA (ENSACDG00005013762.1)". Lineage: Eukaryota; Metazoa; Chordata; Aves; Anseriformes; Anatidae. The record is from RNAcentral.